GGCUUGCGUGGCGGCAGGCCUAAACAUGCAGUCGAACGGUAACAGGAAGAAGCUUGCUUCUUUGCUGACGAGUGGCGGACGGGUGAGUAAUGUCUGGGAAACUGCCUGAUGGAGGGGGAUAACUACUGGAGACGGUAGCUAAUACCGCAUAACGUCGCAAGACCAAAGAGGGGGACCUUCGGGCCUCUUGCCAUCGGAUGUGCCCAGAUGGGAUUAGCUAGUAGGUGGGGUAACGGCUCACCUAGGCGACGAUCCCUAGCUGGUCUGAGAGGAUGACCAGCCACACUGGAACUGAGACACGGUCCAGACUCCUACGGGAGGCAGCAGUGGGGAAUAUUGCACAAUGGGCGCAAGCCUGAUGCAGCCAUGCCGCGUGUAUGAAGAAGGCCUUCGGGUUGUAAAGUACUUUCAGCGGGGAGGAAGGGAGUAAAGUUAAUACCUUUGCUCAUUGACGUUACCCGCAGAAGAAGCACCGGCUAACUCCGUGCCAGCAGCCGCGGUAAUGCGGAGGGUGCAAGCGUUAAUCGGAAUUACUGGGCGUAAAGCGCACGCAGGCGGUUUGUUAAGUCAGAUGUGAAAUCCCCGGGCUCAACCUGGGAACUGCAUCUGAUACUGGCAAGCUUGAGUCUCGUAGAGGGGGGUAGAAUUCCAGGUGUAGCGGUGAAAUGCGUAGAGAUCUGGAGGAAUACCGGUGGCGAAGGCGGCCCCCUGGACGAAGACUGACGCUCAGGUGCGAAAGCGUGGGGGAGCAAACAGGAUUAGAUACCCUGGUAGUCCACGCCGUAAACGAUGUCGACUUGGAGGUUGUGCCCUUGAGGCGUGCUUCCGGAGCUAACGCGUUAAGUCGACCGCCUGGGGGAGUACGGCCCGCAAGGUUAAAACUCAAA
Molecule: ribosomal RNA, 887 nt
Filed under: uncultured bacterium
Lineage: Bacteria
Description: bacterial SSU rRNA
Rfam family: Bacterial small subunit ribosomal RNA
Source: RNAcentral